Molecule: ribosomal RNA, 262 nt
Filed under: uncultured prokaryote
Description: partial 16S ribosomal RNA
Rfam family: Bacterial small subunit ribosomal RNA
Source: RNAcentral
UACGUAGGGUGCGAGCGUUGUCCGGAAUUACUGGGCGUAAAGAGCUCGUAGGUGGUUUGUCGCGUCGUCUGUGAAAUUCCGGGGCUUAAUUCCGGGCGUGCAGGCGAUACGGGCAAUACUUGAGUGCUGUAGGGGAGACUGGAAUUCCUGGUGUAGCGGUGAAAUGCGCAGAUAUCAGGAGGAACACCGAUGGCGAAGGCAGGUCUCUGGGCCACUACUGACGCUGAGAAGCGAAAGCAUGGGGAGCGAACAGGAUUAGAUA